RNAcentral lists this ribosomal RNA (760 nucleotides) under [Xylomelasma] shoalensis. RNAcentral describes it as "eukaryotic LSU rRNA". It matches the Rfam family "Eukaryotic large subunit ribosomal RNA", at positions 94 to 882 of the family's 3401-position model. Lineage: Eukaryota; Fungi; Ascomycota; Sordariomycetes; Barbatosphaeriales; Barbatosphaeriaceae. The record is from RNAcentral.
UGAAGCGGCAACAGCUCAAAUUUGAAAUCUGGCCCUCUGGGUCCGAGUUGUAAUUUGUAGAGGAUGCUUUUGGCGCGGCGCCUUCCGAGUUCCCUGGAACGGGACGCCAUAGAGGGUGAGAGCCCCGUACGGUUGGAUGCCAAACCUUUGUAAAGCUCCUUCGACGAGUCGAGUAGUUUGGGAAUGCUGCUCAAAAUGGGAGGUAAAUUCCUUCUAAAGCUAAAUACCGGCCAGAGACCGAUAGCGCACAAGUAGAGUGAUCGAAAGAUGAAAAGCACUUUGAAAAGAGGGUUAAACAGUACGUGAAAUUGUUGAAAGGGAAGCGCCUGUGACCAGACUUGGUCCCGGGGGAUCAUCCGGCGUUCUGCGCCGGUGCACUCCGCCGGGYUCCAGGCCAGCAUCGGUUCUCCCAGGGGGAUAAAAGCCGCGGGAACGUAGCUCCUUAGGGAGUGUUAUAGCCCGUGGCAUAAUGCCCUUGGGGGGACCGAGGACCGCGCUUCGGCAAGGAUGCUGGCGUAAUGGUCACUAGCGACCCGUCUUGAAACACGGACCAAGGAGUGAAGCAUUAGGGCGAGUGUCUGGGUGUUAAACCCGCACGCGUAAUGAAAGUGAAUGGAGGUGAGAGCUUCGGCGCAUCAUCGACCGAUCCUGAAGUAUUCGGAUGGAUUUGAGUAAGAGCCUUACCGCUUCGACCCGAAAGUUGAUGAACUAUGCCUGUAUAGGGUGAAGCCAGAGGAAACUCUGGUGGAGGCUCGCAGCG